Parasteatoda tepidariorum (common house spider) is the source of this 64-nucleotide small nucleolar RNA. RefSeq annotates it as small nucleolar RNA SNORD2. The record is from RefSeq and is a predicted model, not a curated record. NCBI's taxonomy places the organism in Eukaryota, Metazoa, Arthropoda, Arachnida, Araneae, Theridiidae.
AGACUGUGAUGCCCAAUCAUCUUUCGGGACUGAAACUUUAUGUAGAUAAAUUUUUACUGAGUCU